CCUACGGGAGGCAGCAGUGGGGAAUAUUGGGCAAUGGGCGCAAGCCUGACCCAGCAACGCCGCGUGAAGGAAGAACGUUUUCGGGUUGUAAACUUCUGUUAUCAGGGAGGAAGCAAGUGACGGUACCUGAUGAAUAAGCCACGGCUAACUACGUGCCAGCAGCCGCGGUAAUACGUAGGUGGCAAGCGUUAUCCGGAUUUACUGGGUGUAAAGGGCGUGGAGGCGGGAGUGCAAGUCAGCGGUGAAAACUAUGGGCUCAACCCAUAGCCUGCAUUUGAAACUGUACUUCUUGAGUGAUGGAGAGGCAAUCGGAAUGCCGUGUGUAGCGGUGAAAUGCGUAGAUAUACGGAGGAACACCAGUGGCGAAGGCGGAUUACUGGACAGUAACGGACGCUGAGGCGCGAAAGCGUGGGGAGCAAACAGGAUUAGAUACCCCAGUAGUC
RNAcentral lists this ribosomal RNA (443 nucleotides) under uncultured bacterium. Its description in RNAcentral is "partial 16S ribosomal RNA". It matches the Rfam family "Bacterial small subunit ribosomal RNA", at positions 338 to 795 of the family's 1533-position model. The record is from RNAcentral.